AAGGUGCAGAGUCCACUAGAGCUUCAAGCUGAAGCUGGAGGGUGCCUGACCUCUCCCUUGUACUGCCCUGGUACUACAGGAGGAUGCUGCAGCUUCCUAGCUGGCUAGACAUAUGAAUAUGACAAAGGAAAAUGGAAACUCCCAGUAACCACUUCAAAAAUGAGCUAGUAAGGAAAUCCAUUAACUGCUCUUCUUAUCUCACUCCUUCGGAAUCAGAUAUGUCCCUGGGAAUUACUGUGCUGUGCAUAUAGCAGCAGUUCAAUCACAGGAACUAGAAGACUGUAACAGUUCUUAGGUGGCUUCUUUUGAUGGGUGGAAUAAAUGUUACCACAACUGCUACCAACCUUGGUGUGAAAAGCUGUACAGAUCACGAAUUUUCAUCUGACGAAUUUUCUGAGCUCUCAGUUGGGUUGAAAGCAUCUGUCCGGGUACCAACCAGAGCCACCGGCCCACUUGUGCAGGGGCGGAGGUGCGAGGCUGAGGCUGCAGUGGCCCCUAGCGGGGGAGGCUUUGUCAUCGCGGAGCCUCUGUCGCAGGGGCUGUGCACAGCUUCUGCACAGGCACCUCCUGCCGAAUGGGAGGUGACCUCAGAAGGGGAGAACCCCAGCUUGCUAGGUUUUCAAUUUUCAUUUGCCAGCUUUCAAUUUUCCAUCUGA
RNAcentral lists this long non-coding RNA (656 nucleotides) under Anas platyrhynchos platyrhynchos (common mallard). RNAcentral describes it as "lncRNA (ENSAPLG00000027295.1)". The record is from RNAcentral. Lineage: Eukaryota; Metazoa; Chordata; Aves; Anseriformes; Anatidae.